AUUUAAGAAAUCAUUAGAUGAUGAACUGUAAAUUCAUAUAAGAUUACACUUUUAACCUU
RNAcentral lists this transfer RNA (59 nucleotides) under Agelena silvatica. RNAcentral's name for it is "tRNA-Tyr". The record is from RNAcentral. Lineage: Eukaryota; Metazoa; Arthropoda; Arachnida; Araneae; Agelenidae.